RNAcentral lists this non-coding RNA (30 nucleotides) under Rattus norvegicus (Norway rat). The record is from RNAcentral. Lineage: Eukaryota; Metazoa; Chordata; Mammalia; Rodentia; Muridae.
UNUGCAGUGUGCACAGGAUGCAUACAGAGA